This is a long non-coding RNA of Monodelphis domestica (gray short-tailed opossum), 1684 nucleotides long. The record is from Ensembl. Lineage: Eukaryota; Metazoa; Chordata; Mammalia; Didelphimorphia; Didelphidae.
UCAUCUGAUCCAUUAAAGAAGAUGUCACAACAUUAGGACUACAGCUAAAAUCUACUCUGUGCUAUAUUCACCUAUUUAGAAGGUAAGCUCCUUGAGAGUAAUCUUGCUUUUCCAUUUGUACCUCCAGUGCUUAUAAAGUGCUUUGUACACAAUAAGGGAUUAAAUUGGGUUUUUUCCCCCCAAACUGUUAAUAUUGAUUCCAAGGCAGAAAGAAGAGCAGUAAGAGCUGGGGAACUGGGAUUAAGUGACCUGUCCAGGGUCACACAACUAGGAAGUAUCCGGAGCCAAAUUUGAACCCAGGACCUCUCCUUUCCAGGCCUGGCUCUAUCCACUAGGCCACCCACCUACCCCUAAUAAAUACUUUUUAAGUCUAUACAUAUAAUCAUUCUGUCUAGCUAAGACAAAAUCCAUAUCCAGGAAUACAUAGAAGUGGUUGUUUUUUUAAACCAUUAUAAUGAAUUUGUAAUCCAAGAACUUUAACAUUUAUUAGGCACACAUAGGGCUUUGCUAACAGGAAGCUCAAUUUGAUGGAGGUGAGGGAGUAGUGAUUAGGCAUAUUCAGGUUAACAGUACAAAAUAGCACAAGAUAAAUGCAUCACAAUGGCAUAAAACAACUUGUCAUAAGGUAUGAGAAAAGCAAGGGUUUUUCUAACUGCCUUGGGUGGGGAGAGUUCAUGAAUGAGGCUUCUCAGUUGGACUUUCAAGGGCAAGCUCAGGAUGAAGGAGUUUCAUUAACGCUCAAGACUUUUCAAACUGAGCAAGAGAAGCAAGGGUCACUCCAAAUGGAGACUGGGUAGGGGUGAAGCAGACUGAAGAACAGUUUGGAAGAGGCCAUUGUUAGCUGCCCUCCCUGAUAUUACUUCAUAAGGUUAAGGUCAGUUUCAACUUCCUCCACACCCCAUUUCCUUUAAUGAUCUACUGCAAAUUGAUCACAGGAAAACUUAGCUAAACUCAUCAAGAAUAUGUUUAUCUGUUUCCAAAUCGUAUCACUUCUUAAAGGAGAAAUUUCCAUUAGGUUUAUCAUCCAAUGUGUGAAGCCCAGUUUCAUGGGACCAUCAGGAUCCUUAACAAAGAGGAGAAAAGUCCCAGUUCCAUUCUGGCACAUCUGCUUCUUCUUUUCAGGUCAGGUCAAAGACUUAAGUGAUUGAAGUGCUUCACUGAACCAAGUGAAGAAGUGACAUCAGUUUCUACUACAGUCCCCUCCCCAGACCAAAGAAACUAGAGGACUCAGUUUAUGGCAGGUUUUUUUUUUGAGGGGAAGUGUUAGGGUUUUUACUCUCUCCCCCCCUUCCCUUUUUUAAGAAAAGCAAUCAUCCAGGCUCCUGUCCCCCCUUCCCCCAUAACUCCUAGUUUAAUCCUUUCACUUACCCUAUCUUUCCUUUACUUCCUUCCCCUUAUCUCACAGGAAGCUUCUCUGGGAGCAAUAUAAACAAGAGUAAUGCAACACAAUGGAGACAUUCAAAGAACAACACAUUUCUUUCCGGUUAAUCAGUUCAGACAGUGACUAUCUGACCCAAAUCAUCUACAAAUGGAAAUGGAGCAAAUGCCUGUUUCUUUCUUUUUUAUUUUAUGUUGGGGUUUUUUCAAAGUAACAUCUGUGUUCUUCUCUUCAUAAUUCCUAGGAUUUUUGUUUUGUUUGUUUUUAACAGAGGAAUAAAAAGGAUAAUGCUAUUGAUAGUUUACA